Long non-coding RNA from Pyrus x bretschneideri (Chinese white pear), 4057 nucleotides. RefSeq lists it as uncharacterized. The transcript is spliced from 4 exons. NCBI's taxonomy places the organism in Eukaryota, Viridiplantae, Streptophyta, Magnoliopsida, Rosales, Rosaceae. The record is from RefSeq and is a predicted model, not a curated record.
UUCAACUCUCAUUGGGAUCCUUACUCUCCAUCAUUAAAAUCCUUUUUGUGUGAUAUUCUCCUCCAGGCACGGUUGCAAAUACACAAGCCGUCAAGGUUAAUUUGGUUUUGUUAAACUAAAGACAUUAGAAGAGUGGAACCGGCUGUGUUUUAAAGAGGACAAUUUAAUUGAAACAACUGUUGCUGGCAACGUAUGUGUAUCGCCACAGUGCAGUGUUGACAAGGCCAAGAUAAGAUAUAUUAUUGGCACUCCCUCCUACCUCAUUGGUUCACAGACUUAGGUCUGUUUGCAACAGAGAAGUCAAUUUUUUCUUUAUAGUGAUUUCCGCUUGAUUUUUCUUUAAUUUGUUCAAUCUAAUGACGAAAAAAAAAAAUACAUACAGUAGGUGAAAAAGGUGUGUAUAAAUCGUUUUUAUUUCCUUUAUGCAUACGGAAAUAAAUCGGAUGUAUCAAAUUAAUUAUUGGCUCGACAAUAAUAAAUUACACUGAAUGAUGUCCUUAAUUGCAAAAGGACACGUUGGCAAUUAUAAAUUUAUAAUCAGUAAGAUAUGACAAACGACUCGCGGGGCAGGGGGGGAGGGGGGUCGAAAUAAAAUUAUUGCAAAAUACGUAAUGUCUUUUCUACCUGACUUCAAGAUGUAAAAAAGCAGAUGGCAUUUUUGACCAUCCAAACUUAGUUACGACCAUGUUGAAGCAUAAAAGAUUACAAAAGCUUGAGGAAAAGGCACCGUGUUUCUUUUUUUUCAAUCCUAGCACGUGAACAAUAUAAAUAGAAUAAUUUAAAGUAUUUGUAGUCUUCGGCUUCAUACGAGGAAUAACUUGUUUUGAUACUAUGAAGAAAGUUGAGGUUCAGCUAUGUUGAUGCACAAAAUCGGCGAGGACUUUGGUACAACAGAAAGUGUCAAGUUUAUGACUUUCGCUAGAUUGCUCUAGUCAUUAGUGUGGAUAAGUAUGUAAAUGGAUAGAGACAGGGAAGCAAACAACACAAGAUGUAUCGUGGUUCACCCAAGUUGGGCUACGUCCACAUUAGUGUCGAUUCCGUUUCACUAUGUAAAUGUGUGGAUUACAAUGGACAAGCAAGGGAGCUCUCUGUGUGAAUUAAAAUGGACAAGCAAGGGAGCUCUCUGUGUGCUGCCCUUUGUGCUUCCCUUUGCUAUCUCUCCCCCCCUCUAGUGAGUGCGAGGGAGCCCUUUUAUAGAAUAAGGGCUUCCUCCCCUUUUACAUGAAUCAUGGGUUAAGUAAUGAAGCCCAAAUACUGAGGCCCAAUAUAUGGUACAACAGGAGUCCCCCAAGUCUUCAGUCAAGAGAUACUUUGGGCUAGAGACUUCAAAUUCAAUCCAUGUGCGGGCCGAAGUGACUAGAUGUCGUCCAGAACUAGUACUCGACCUGAGACGGUGCUUAACGUGAAGCAAUACUCAGCUAGAGGUAGCACACAUUGCAAGGCUGCUCGUCUAGAAGCAAUGCUCGCGGCGACACGGUUGCUCGGCUGGAGGCAGUGCUCGUUGCGAAGCGACUUAGCUUGUGGCGUUCUUCAUUGUGAGUAUGCACUCGACGUCAGCGUGAGCUCAUUAUGAGUUAACUCCUGACAUAACUCGAGUCUGCUUGUCGGGUUCGCAUAUUGGGUCUAUGUGUCGGAUCCACGGAUCGGGUCCACAAGUCAGGUCUUUGAGUCAAGGCCAUACAUAGGGUCUGUGAGUCGGGGUUCGAGCUCAAGGGUGUCCAAGUUUGACGGUGUCUAAUCUCAUAAGUGCCCGAACGAAUGGGUGUCCAAGCUCGCGGGUGUCCAAAUAAGCGAGUGUCCGAGGAAGUGGGUGUCCAGCUAGACAAAAGAUUACCGUUCAGACUAAAUCUUUGUCACCAUAAGAAUGUGGCUCAUCAAUCUAUAAGUUGGUAGGCUUCUUUAUCAGUGACAAUGUUGAUCAAUAGAGUCUAGUUGCUCAAUAAUUCCUGACAAUAAAUGAUAAUAUAAAUAUGACCGUAUAAUGAAUAAAUCAAAUUGACAAAGUUUGCCAAGGAAAAAUAUUGUACUAUGUGCCUUCUAUAAAUAAAUAAUUUAUUCAGUCGGUAAAGGUGUAUAAGUGACACAGUUUAAUGGCAGUCACAAUUCAUGCACAUAUCAGUUUGUACUUGUCACUUGUAUCAGUAGCUGCAUGACUCUAUUUGUCAUGUUGCACAUACCAUGUCAUGAACUAUUAAUCAAAUGCAAAUAGUACUAUCUAAAUAUCAUGCUGACUGUCACUGCGACAAAGAUUGAAAAAAGUGCAUAAAGCAAUUACUUAUAUAUAUAUAUAUAUAUAUAUAUAUAUAUAGUGGCACUUAAUGUAUAGUGAACAAAAUAGGCAGUAUGGCGUGUAUGAAGCAUAUACAGUAAUUACGUAUGAAAAUAAUAUUUAAAUAAUAAAUAUAGUGUUCAUAAUGAUUAAAGUUGUGUUAUUUUAAAAGGGAAGUGGCCGACAUAUUAAUAAAAGAAUAAAGAAUUCUUAUCUUCAUCGUAGUUGUCUCGUGGGUUUUUUCUGAAAGUGGGCAUGGUGGGAACAUGCACUCCCCUUCAUGAUGAAAGUCUUAUCUUUUUCAAAAGUUGGUGGGCAUCUUCUAGUACAACAGAAAGUGGAGACGGGGAACCUUGGUGCAGUGUAGUGGGAACCUUGCACUAGUUCUUAUCUUAUUCAUGAGUGCUUCUCGUGGGUGUUUUUUCAGGCCACUGGUUCAUUGAUCUGCUCGUUAGUGGCGGUCUCAAUUUCGUCAGUGUAUUUCUGAUAGCAAGCGACGGUUUGGAAGCAUGUCAGCUCUUGGCUAAAAUCCGGCAAUAGUGUGGUGAAGAAUCCUGUGCGUCCCGUAAUCGUUCAAGUUGGGUCCUCCAACUAUACAAAUCAAUGGCAGACUCUCACUGUAAGCUCCCGCGAUAGCAUUGAGAACACUGAGCCCACCCACAGUGAAAGUAACAACACACGCCCCGACUCCCCGAGACCGGGCGUAGCCGUCAGCAGCGUACCCGACGUUGAGUUUGUUGCAGCAGCCGAUGUUGGUGAGCCCGGGCUCGGCGAUGAGGUGGGCAAUGAGGGUUAAGUUCAAGUCACCGGGGACAGUGAACACGUCGGUGACACCGAUUUGGACGAGUCGGUGGGCGAUGUGGCCACCCAGAGUGGCGUCAGAGGAGUUGACGGUGGAGGGGGCAAAGCUUUGGAUUGCUAAAGCGGCGCUGUUCGGUAGGCUGUCGACGUCAGUGCACGCAGGCUUGCAGACGUCGAGGGAACCGAUUUUGGUGUCUAUAGGUUUUUGAACUGGGUUUUGAUCGUACUCAAAAACCGUUCUUGAAAACUAUUCGGAAAACAGAAAAUAUGGGAACUUUGCAAUGGGAUUUGAAGACUGCGAUUUGGGUUUUUCUGGGAUUUAUGGAAUUUGGUUUUUUGCAUAUCCACAGUGGAGACAGGUGGUUUGAUGAAAAAAUGAAAGGGAACCGACAUAGCUUUUCGUGUUGAUUUCCACAGACGGCGCCAAAUCUUGAUGCACAAAAAUCGGCGAGGAUUUUGGUACAACAGAAAAUAUCAAGUUUAUGACUUUCGCUAGAUUGUUCUGGUCAGUGGAUAAGUAUGCAAAUGGAUAGAGACAGGGAAGCAAACAACACAAGAUGUAUCGUGGUUCACCCAAGUUGGGCUACAUCCACAUUAGUGUCGAUUCCGUUUCACUAUUUAAAUGUGUGGAUUGCAAUGGACAAGCAAGGGAGCUCUCUGUGUGAAUUACAAUGGACAAGCAAGGGAGCUCUCUGUGUGCUGCCCUUUGUGCUUCCCUUUGCUAUCUUUCCCCCCUAGUGAGUGCGAGGGAGCCCUUUUAUAGAAUAAGGGUUUCCUUCCCUUUUACAUGAAUCAUGGGCUAAGUAAUGAAGCCCAAAUACUGAGGCCCAAUAUAUGGUACAACAAGCUAUAAAAUUAAUUAGCAAUAUAGGAAGUAGCCUAAUUAUUUACAAGCACAUGCAAUGUACCGCUUUUUUUUAUGUGAGAUUGAUACUCUCAACAAAUUAAAUGUUUUGGGGUAAUUUUACACACAAUCUUUGGGUGUUU